UACAGAGGGUGCGAGCGUUAAUCGGAAUUACUGGGCGUAAAGCGCGCGUAGGCGGCUUUGCAAGUCGGGUGUGAAAUCCCCAGGCUUAACCUGGGAACUGCAUUCGAGACUGCAUUGCUAGAGUAUGGGAGAGGGAAGUGGAAUUUCCGGUGUAGCGGUGAAAUGCGUAGAUAUCGGGAGGAACACCGGUGGCGAAGGCGGCGACCUGGGUAGAUACUGACGCUGAGGCGCGAAAGCGUGGGGAGCAAACAGG
RNAcentral lists this ribosomal RNA (253 nucleotides) under uncultured bacterium. Its description in RNAcentral is "partial 16S ribosomal RNA". It matches the Rfam family "Bacterial small subunit ribosomal RNA", at positions 524 to 776 of the family's 1533-position model. The record is from RNAcentral.